Molecule: long non-coding RNA, 927 nt
Filed under: Mytilus galloprovincialis (Mediterranean mussel)
Lineage: Eukaryota; Metazoa; Mollusca; Bivalvia; Mytilida; Mytilidae
Source: RNAcentral
UUACGUAUUUUUCAUAUCGACCACACAUUCGGUACUCUUCGGUAUAUCCCUACGGCAAAGUUCCGAACCGGACCUAGCUCAUUUUAAAGGUAUUGACCCAAGCUAUUCCCCACUUAAAUAUUUUUCUGGGAUCCGGGCCCGUCUGGCCACCACAGAGGUUCAAAGUUGCCCAUUUAUGUAUUUUCAAUACCCAUAACCCAGAUCCUUUUUCCUAUUUUAUAUACUACAAAGUCUAUAAUUUCGUUGAAUUUGGGAUAUUGAAACACCAGGGGUCUCACCGUUAUCUGAGUGGUCUCCCGUAGGUUUUCACUAUAUAUAUUUUUUUUUUUUUUUUGGCUUUCCAUAGAUAUUUCUAUUUAUAUUUCUUAAUGUUUUUAGAGUGGCUGGCUUUAGUUUUAGUUUUAUAUAUUUUAUAUUAAAUUAAAUCUUUGAUGAAUCUUUGAUGUCGUUUUAUUGAUAAAAAUUCAUAUUACAUAAAGACAAAUAUGUAAUUAAUAUAAGGGUUUAUAUUCGAGGACAACGAGAAUUUACGACAGCUUGAAGGGGUCAUAAAACUAUUUGCGGCGUAAUUUUUCACUCCUGUUAACUAUGAAAAUCAUACUUUUUAAUGAUUUUCAACUAAAUUUUAAUAUUGAACCGACUGCUAGCAACCGGUUUGAUAUUGAAUAUCGAAUAUCGAAUAACAAACCGGCAGCUAACUUCACAUACAUAUUUUAAAAGUAAUGAAAUGCUUUUAAAAUCAUUACAAGCCGCGAAAUUGUCGAAUUCCGCUGUUAAAUUAUAUUUAACUAAGAUUUAGCGAUUUUUGGAACGUUUGAGUCUCAUGCAAUUUUUUGGUUUUUAGACAUAUCGUCAAAAUUGGCUGCUGGAAAAAAGUGGCUGCUAUCUUGAUUGGCCGAUAAAAGUGGCUGCCAGCUUGAGUCUGGU